AGUACGGCGGAACACGAGAAAUUCCGUCGGAAUCCGCGGGGACCAUCCCGCAAGGCUAAAUACUCCCUAGUGACCGAUAGUGAACCAGUACCGUGAGGGAAAGGUGAAAAGCACCCCGGAAGGGGAGUGAAAUAGAUCCUGAAACCGUGUGCCUACAACAAGUCAAAGCUCGUUAAUGAGUGAUGGCGUGCCUUUUGUAGAAUGAACCGGCGAGUUACGAUUGCAUGCGAGGUUAAGUCGAAGAGACGGAGCCGCAGCGAAAGCGAGUCUGAAUAGGGCGAAUGAGUAUGUAGUCGUAGACCCGAAACCAUGUGAUCUACCCAUGUCCAGGUUGAAGGUGCGGUAAAACGCACUGGAGGACCGAACCCACGUACGUUGAAAAGUGCGGGGAUGAGGUGUGGGUAGCGGAGAAAUUCCAAACGAACUUGGAGAUAGCUGGUUCUCUCCGAAAUAGCUUUAGGGCUAGCCUCGGAAUUGAGAAUGAUGGAGGUAGAGCA
This 497-nucleotide ribosomal RNA is filed under the name Enterococcus faecalis. RNAcentral's name for it is "partial 23S ribosomal RNA". It matches the Rfam family "Bacterial large subunit ribosomal RNA", at positions 411 to 909 of the family's 2925-position model. Lineage: Bacteria; Bacillati; Bacillota; Bacilli; Lactobacillales; Enterococcaceae. The record is from RNAcentral.